GUGUCAGCAGCCGCGGUAAUACGGAGGGUGCAAGCGUUGUUCGGAAUCACUGGGCGUAAAGCGCGUGUAGGCGGUUCACUAAGUCUGAUGUGAAAGCCCGGGGCUCACCCCCGGAAGGGCAUUGGAAACUGGUGGACUCGAGUCCCGGAGAGGAGAGUGGAAUUCCUGGUGUAGCGGUGAAAUGCGUAGAUAUCAGGAGGAACACCGGUGGCGAAGGCGGCUCUCUGGACGGUGACUGACGCUGAGACGCGAAAGCGUGGGGAGCAAACAGGAUUAGAUACCCUGGUAGUCCACGCUGUAAACGAUGAGCACUAGGUGUCGCGGGUAUUGACCCCUGCGGUGCCGCAGCUAACGCAUUAAGUGCUCCGCCUGGGGACUACGGCCGCAAGGUUAAA
RNAcentral lists this ribosomal RNA (395 nucleotides) under uncultured bacterium. RNAcentral's name for it is "bacterial SSU rRNA". It matches the Rfam family "Bacterial small subunit ribosomal RNA", at positions 505 to 898 of the family's 1533-position model. The record is from RNAcentral.